UCAUCUUCCCCCUAGAGCAGCGGUCUCCAACCUUUUGGACCUCACGGACCACCAGAGGUCUGCAGACCACCGGUUGGUGACUGCUGCUCCAAAGGUUUGCUUAACCCAGUGAUCGCCAACCUUUCGGAUUACCAGUGGUUCAUGGACCAC
This is a long non-coding RNA of Pipistrellus kuhlii (Kuhl's pipistrelle), 150 nucleotides long. RefSeq lists it as uncharacterized. The transcript is spliced from 3 exons. NCBI's taxonomy places the organism in Eukaryota, Metazoa, Chordata, Mammalia, Chiroptera, Vespertilionidae. The record is from RefSeq and is a predicted model, not a curated record.